UACGAAGGGGGCUAGCGUUGUUCGGAAUUACUGGGCGUAAAGCGCACGUAGGCGGAUUAGUAAGUCAGGGGUGAAAUCGCGGGGCUCAACCUCGGAACUGCCUUUGAUACUGCUGAUCUCGAGUUCAGAAGAGGUGAGUGGAAUUUCUAGUGUAGAGGUUAAAUUCGUAGAUGUUAGGAAGAACACUGGUGGCGAAGGCGGCUCACUGGUCCGGUACUGACGCUGAGGUGCGAAAGCGUGGGGAGCAAACAGG
This 253-nucleotide ribosomal RNA is filed under the name uncultured bacterium. Its description in RNAcentral is "partial 16S ribosomal RNA". It matches the Rfam family "Bacterial small subunit ribosomal RNA", at positions 524 to 776 of the family's 1533-position model. The record is from RNAcentral.